Pelobates cultripes (western spadefoot toad) is the source of this 195-nucleotide non-coding RNA. The record is from the annotation of a GenBank genome assembly. NCBI's taxonomy places the organism in Eukaryota, Metazoa, Chordata, Amphibia, Anura, Pelobatidae.
AAAAGUACCUGUUACUCUUUGGGUUUUGUGUCAGUAAAGAUAUCACAUGGCUUGUGACAGCCAAGCAUUCAUGGUGGCAUCACUUUUUGAUUCUCCACUAUUUUCUUCUCCUAUCAUUAUGCAACAUAAUUCACCAAGUGUUAGAUUGUCCACUUAAUGAUAUGUGAUGUAAAAGAUGUGUUGUCACAAUAGUAU